Molecule: long non-coding RNA, 901 nt
Filed under: Homo sapiens (human)
Lineage: Eukaryota; Metazoa; Chordata; Mammalia; Primates; Hominidae
Description: HSALNT0363607
Source: RNAcentral
CUUUCCAGCCCCUCCUCCCAGCAGAGGAUCCCAGUGCCCUCCUGGCCUGAAGGCCCUGCAGGCCUGGCCUUCCCAACUUCCUCUCUGCCCUUGUCCCCCGUCGUCCCUCUAGUUGGCCUGGCCCUCCCAACUUCCUCUCUGCCCUUGUCCCCCGUCGUCCCCCUAGUUGGCCUGGCCCUCCCAACCUCCUCUCUGCCCUUGUCCCCCGUCGUCCCCCUAGCUGGAGGGUGCCCCAGCCUGGCUGACCUCAGUUCUUGUCCCCAGCACACACAACUCUUCCCAGCCUCAAGGCCUUCACCUGGCUGUGCCGCUGCCUGCAAUGUUCCUCCCCAGUCUUGUCAGGGCUGGCUCCUGGGGAGAAGAUCUCUGCUCAGAUGUCACUUCCCCGGAAGGGCCUUCCACGGCCACCCACGUCGUGUCUCCCCACGCCUGCCCCCACACUCGCUAGCCCGCCGUCCCCUCUUCCUGCUUCCGUCCUCCACAGCAGUCAUCACCAUCUGAUAUUCCUGUGUAUGCAUCGGUUUGCCUUUCUGGCUCCUGGUUUUGCUCUGCCUCCCCGCUGGAAGCUACUUGGAAGGCUGAGACAGGAGAAUUUCUUGAAUCCAGAAGGCAGAGGUUGCAGUGAGCCAAGAUCAUGCCAAUGCGCUCCAGCCUGGGCGACAGAGUGAAACUCCAAGUGAAUAAAUGAAUUGUGAGUGCAUGACGUGAGGCCCGGAGUGUACAGCCAAUGGUUGUCACACACAGUAUCCCCCCAAGAGAAACCUGCAGCCCAGCAGCUCGGCUGCAGUACAGAGACCCCCAACCUGGCAGAGGCCUUGACACAAAACAGUUUUGCACCAAAUGAUGCAUACGUGAAGGCACAAUGAAGUGAACAGCAAGCGUUCAAGGAAAAGGCCUUGCA